This 351-nucleotide transfer-messenger RNA is filed under the name human gut metagenome. It matches the Rfam family "transfer-messenger RNA". From Rfam's summary of the family: Bacterial tmRNA, also known as 10Sa RNA or SsrA, is named for its dual tRNA and mRNA-like properties. The record is from RNAcentral.
GGGGAUGUCAUGGUUUCGACGGAGAUAGUGAACCUCGGGCAGCGAGUAGUGUUGAGUACCACUUAAAACGGCUUAACUUUUAAAUAUAAACGCUAACGAUUACGAAUUAGCUUACGCUGCCUAAUUGCAGCGUUGUCUCCUCCGGAAUUACCGCAUUUCGGACUGAGGCAUCAUUUAAGCGGUGAACGUGAGCGGAAAAGCGUUUCGGUUUCCGCCAUGCAUCAGAAACUACUGAUGCCGUAGCUUUGGUUAUGGAGCAGCGGCAAAGGGAAUGUGAAGCAUAACCUGCACUCGGAGAAGCCCGGGCGGAAUUAUUUUCGGACACGAGUUCGAUUCUCGUCAUCUCCACCA